AGAGCGAACGCUGGCGGCAGGCCUAACACAUGCAAGUCGAACGAACUCUUCGGAGUUAGUGGCGGACGGGUGAGUAACACGUGGGAACGUGCCUUUAGGUUCGGAAUAACUCAGGGAAACUUGUGCUAAUACCGAAUGUGCCCUUCGGGGGAAAGAUUUAUCGCCUUUAGAGCGGCCCGCGUCUGAUUAGCUUGUUGGUGGGGUAAUGGCCCACCAAGGCUACGAUCAGUAGCUGGUCUGAGAGGAUGACCAGCCACAUUGGGACUGAGACACGGCCCAAACUCCUACGGGAGCAGCAGUGGGGAAUCUUGCGCAAUGGGCGAAAGCCUGACGCAGCCAUGCCGCGUGUAUGAUGAAGGUCUUAGGGAUUUAGGUAAAAUACCUUUACGACCCGG
RNAcentral lists this ribosomal RNA (395 nucleotides) under uncultured soil bacterium. RNAcentral's name for it is "bacterial SSU rRNA". It matches the Rfam family "Bacterial small subunit ribosomal RNA", at positions 26 to 446 of the family's 1533-position model. The record is from RNAcentral.